Molecule: ribosomal RNA, 460 nt
Filed under: uncultured bacterium
Lineage: Bacteria
Description: partial 16S ribosomal RNA
Rfam family: Bacterial small subunit ribosomal RNA
Source: RNAcentral
CCUACGGGAGGCAGCAGUGAGGAAUAUUGGUCAAUGGACGAGAGUCUGAACCAGCCAAGUAGCGUGAAGGAUGACUGCCCUAUGGGUUGUAAACUUCUUUUAUAUGGGAAUAAAAUGUUCCACGUGUGGGAUUUUGUAUGUACCAUAUGAAUAAGGAUCGGCUAACUCCGUUGCAGCAGCCGCGGUAAUACGGAGGAUCCGAGCGUUAUCCGGAUUUUUUGGGUUUAAAGGGAGCGUAGGUGGAUUGUUAAGUCAGUUGUGAAAGUUUGCGGCUCAACCGUAAAAUUGCAGUUGAAACUGGCAGUCUUGAGUACAGUAGAGGUGGGCGGAAUUCGUGGUGUAGCGGUGAAAUGCUUAGAUAUCACGAAGAACUCCGAUUGCGAAGGCAGCUCACUGGACUGCAACUGACACUGAGGCUCGAAAGUGUGGGUAUCAAACAGGAUUAGAUACCCGGGUAGUC